Molecule: RNase P RNA, 401 nt
Filed under: Streptomyces canus
Lineage: Bacteria; Bacillati; Actinomycetota; Actinomycetes; Kitasatosporales; Streptomycetaceae
Description: RNase P class A
Rfam family: Bacterial RNase P class A
About the family: Ribonuclease P (RNase P) is a ubiquitous endoribonuclease, found in archaea, bacteria and eukarya as well as chloroplasts and mitochondria. Its best characterised activity is the generation of mature 5'-ends of tRNAs by cleaving the 5'-leader elements of precursor-tRNAs.
Source: RNAcentral
CGAGCCGGGCGGACGGCCGCGUGGAGCUCCUCAGGGGCUUCCCGAGGAACGUCCGGACUCCACAGGGCAGGGUGAUGGCUAACGGCCACCCGGGGUGACCCGCGGGACAGUGCCACAGAAAACAGACCGCCCGGCGCUCAGGCGCUGGGUAAGGGUGAAACGGUGGUGUAAGAGACCACCAGUGCCCAGGGUGACCUGGGCAGCUAGGUAAACCCCACCCGGAGCAAGGUCAAAAGGAGCGCCGUCAGACGCUCUGCGCGGACGUUCGAGGGCUGCCCGCCCGAGUCCGCGGGUAGACCGCAGGAGGCCGGCGGCAACGUCGGCCCUAGAUGGAUGGCCGUCUCCCCGGCUGCCGUGAGGCGACCGGGCGACAGAAUCCGGCGUACAGCCCGACUCGUCUG